CUGGGGUGCGGGAGGAGGUGGGAGGGUGAGGCUGUGGCCAGCAGGAGCCAGGCCUCAGGGUGCCAGCCUGGACCAGGAGCAUGUGCUGGGGGCUUGCUUUCCGCAAUCAGGCACUUUUUCAAGUUGGUCCUGAACGGUUCUGGACUGGAUGGCAGGCUGCUGUGUGUGAUUGAGAAUGUUGCCUGUCUGAGCCCUGAGAUGAGCUGAGGGUUCCUCCUCCCCAGCCAGCACCAGCCUCACACAGCCCUUGUAAAUCUGAAAGUGCUGUUGGUAGCAACCAGGGAUGGGCAGAGGCAGCCCUGUCCUGAGGGUGACAUGAAAGUGAGAGCAAGCUGAAGCUCCAGUUGGCUUAGUCUUCAAAAGUGUCACUUUCAGAUUAUAUCCCUCAGCUUUAAAAUAUCCUUCUUUGAAGUCCAUCCUGCUCUGCCCACUAUUUGUCCCCGGUGGUCACUUCCUCCUCUGUGCUCCCGUGGCCUGGGAUUCACACCAGGAAAGAACGCCACGAAGAAGGAAUGACAAGAAAAUGGAGGCAAAGAACAUUGGAGUCACUCCCUGGCUACACACACUGAGGUGCUCAAAAAGGGCCGGUGUGCCGCAGUGAGUGCCAGUUUGAAUGAAGGAAGCAUGCGUGGCCUGAAGCCUCACCGUGUUCCAGGCGUCCAGUUAAGUGCUCUGCACAUAAUAUCACACAUUGCGCUCCACGAUAAGAACAAAUUCUCACAUGGGAACCGAGCAAAGUGUAAUGGAUGUUCCCAGGAGCUGCCUAUGGGAUUCAAGAAAACUGUAUGAGAGGAGUAACAUUUGGGCUGGAAGCGAAAAUACAAGUAAACAUAUGUCAAAUGGGGUCUGGAAAGCAAUCCUCCACAGAAAGAAAGCAGAAUCUUCUGGGCAUUUCUGAGCAAGUGGACUUCCUUCAGCUGAGCACAGUCCUCAGGAGAAGCGGACAGGUGCAAAGUGUUGGAAGCCAACACUCACAGCAGUUGGGGGUUGGAGUGCUCUGGCUUCCAACAGCAUUGAAACCAACAGCAUUGACUACAGCGAGUUUCUCAAUCUUCAGAACACAUCCCAGCCUCCCUGGGGGCUGCUAAUGCACAGAUUGCCGUUUCCCACUCCAAGAGUUUCUGAUUCCAGAGGUCUGGGGUAGGGCUCGAUAAUUUGUUCUUCUAACCACCUAAUGCUGUUGGUCCAGUGACCACACUUUGAGAAAUGCUGUACUAUGUUUUCUCAUAUAUUUAAAAAUUCUCACCUCAUUUAUGGUUUAAAACUUCUAGAACAAUUCUGAAUAGUUUUUGUAAUAGUGAGCCUCACUUUCCUGUCUCUGCCCUUAAUGGGAAUGUCUCUAAUGAUUCACCUUUCAUACGGGGACUUGUUGUGGUUUACUGGGCAAUUCCUUUUGGCAGGUUAAAAAAAUUCCCUCUGUUUCAAGCUAAAGCCAUUUACCAGGAAGAGACGCUAAGUUUUAUCAGAGGGUUUUUCCAGUAACUAUUGUGAUAAUCAUGGUUUUUUUUCCUAUUUAUUACGAUAUCAAACAUGAAACUUAUUUGAAGUCCUGGAUUAAACGGUGCUUGUUUUCUAUAAUGUUUUGUUCCUUAAAUGUACUGACAAAUUUAAUUUAUUAUUUUUUUAGGAUUUGAGGUACAAGUUCAUACGUGAUAAUGACUUACUGUUUUGUUUUCAUUAUUUCCUCCUUCCAUCCUUUCUUGAUAUCCUUUUUAUCUCUUGGUUUCAAAAUUACACUAGCGUCAUAGAAUGAGUUGGAAAUUAGCCCAUUAUUCUCCAUGCCAUGGAGUGUUUUGCAAAACAUAAGAAUGAUCAGUUCCUUACAUAUUUGGUAGAAUUUACCUUAUAAAACACAGUAGGUUUUGUGUCUCUUCUGGAGUCCAGAUACUGCUAUGGACUGAAUGUUUGUACCCUCUAAGAUUCAUUAGGUUGAAAUCCUAGCCUCAAAGUGGUGGUAUUAGGAGGUGGGACUUUUGGGAGGUGAUCAGGCCAAGAGGGUGGAGCCCUCAUGAAUGGGAUUAGUGCCCUUAUCAAAUAAGGCAAAAGGAGCUCUUUAACCUCUCCCACCAUGUGAGGACAAAGUGAAAAGACACCAUCUAUGAACCAGGAAGCAGGGCCUCACCGGAUGCCAAACCUGCCAGCACCUGGCCCUUGGACUUCCAGCCACCAGAACUGUGAAGAAGAAAUUUCUAUUGCUUAUAAAUACCCAGUUUACGGCAUUCUGUUAUAGAAGUGCCUAAUAGGCUAAGGCAAAUACUAUAUGGUAUUUAGGAUUGCUUCUGUAUAUUUUUAAGACUUUUUUAUUUUGGAAUAAUAAUAAUUCACAGAAAAUUUACAGAGAAAGUCUCCACAUGCCCCUCACCCCACUUCCCCUAAUGUUAACAUAACCGUGGUCCAUUUGUCAAAACUAAGAAAUGAGGAUUGGUACCAUACUAUUGACUGAAUUACAGACAUUACUUGGAUUUUGUCAAUUGUUUUACUAAUAUUCUAUUAUUUCUGUGUCAGAUUCCAAUCUGGAUAACAUGUUGCAUUUGUUCAUCACGUCUCCUUUGUUUUUCCUGGGCUGUGACAGUUUCUUAUUCUUUUCUUGUAUUGCCUGGCUUUGAAUUUUGAGGAAUUCUGGUUAAGUAUUUUGUAAACUGUCACUAAAUUUUGCUUGUCAGAUGUUUUCUCCUGGGUUAGACUGGGCUUACAGGUUUUGGGGAAGAACUCUACAAAAGGGAAAUGUCUUUCUCAUCUCAUCUAAUAAAUGGAUAUAGGAUAUCAACUUAACUUAUUCCUGGCAAUGGUAAUCUUGACAUCAUGGUUAAGGGAGUACCUGCCAAGUUACCACAAGGAAAGUUUCUAUUUUUUCAUUCUUAUACUCAAUUCUUUGGAAGCAAGUCACGAAGUCCAGCUCACACUCAAAAAUAGGGAAAUUAAACCUUACCUUUUUGCAUAGGGGAUACGAACUUUAAAAAAAACAAUCUUCUGAAAGGAGUCUUGUCUCUUGUAGUUCCAUGUUUAAUGCUAUCAUGUAUUUGUUUUUAUUAAUAUGAACUCAUAAAUACUCAUUUUAUUGGAAUAAUCCAUUAUCAUAUAUUUUGUUGCUCAGAGUAUUCCAGCUUUGACCACUGGGCUUUUUCAGGUUGACUUCUGUGUCCUUUUGACUUGCCCCCAUCUAUUAUUAUGUAUUUUUUUUUAGCAGUUUCUUACUUUUGUCACUUCAAGAUGUUCCAGACUUAGUUUGUAUUUUUCUUACUCCAUCUUUAGAAUCAGCCAUUUCUUUAAGGAGCUUUGGGUUCUUUUAUUGGAGAGUGGUAUUUGGAAACCAAGAUCUGGGCAUUAGGUAUGCUCAUUGCUACCGGGAUGUCACUGCUUCUAGGCCCUCUCAGCUGGACAGAGGUAUGACAUACAUGUGUGUAAAUUAAUCUACAUAUAUCGACAUAUCUAUAAUUAGCUCUGUCAUAUUCACUAUUUAAUUUACAACCUCUUUUUUUGGUAGAUGUUUGCAAUCCAUAUUUUACUUACUGAUUAACAGUUUUAAUUUUUGGUAACAAUUCAUAAAAUAGAAAAUUGCAAUUUUAAUAGAGCUUUUCCAAAUCUGGAAUUAUAUACUCUCUCUGGAGUAUACAUUAUUCAU
RNAcentral lists this long non-coding RNA (3622 nucleotides) under Homo sapiens (human). Its description in RNAcentral is "HSALNT0026861". The record is from RNAcentral. Lineage: Eukaryota; Metazoa; Chordata; Mammalia; Primates; Hominidae.